Molecule: ribosomal RNA, 785 nt
Filed under: uncultured Bacillota bacterium
Lineage: Bacteria; Bacillati; Bacillota
Description: bacterial SSU rRNA
Rfam family: Bacterial small subunit ribosomal RNA
Source: RNAcentral
AGCAAUCUGUCCCAGACAGGGGAAUAACAGAUGGAAACAUCUGCUAAUACCGCAUAAGACCACGUCCUCACAUGGGGAUGAGGUAAAAGGAGAAAUCCGGUUUGGGGUGAGCUCGCGUCCGAUUAGCUAGUUGGCGAGGUAACGGCCCACCAAGGCGACGAUCGGUAGCCGACCUGAGAGGGUGAUCGGCCACAUUGGAACUGAGAGACGGUCCAAACUCCUACGGGAGGCAGCAGUGGGGAAUAUUGGGCAAUGGGCGAAAGCCUGACCCAGCAACGCCGCGUGAGGGAAGAAGGUUUUCGGAUUGUAAACCUCUAUCGUGGAGGACGAAGGAAGUGACGGUACUCCACAAGGAAGCCCCGGCUAACUACGUGCCAGCAGCCGCGGUAAUACGUAGGGGGCAAGCGUUGUCCGGAAUGACUGGGCGUAAAGGGCGUGUAGGCGGCCGAUUAAGUCUGGAGUGAAAGUCCUGCUUUCAAGGUGGGAAUUGCUUUGGAGACUGGUUGGCUUGAGUGCGGAAGAGGUAAGUGGAAUUCCCAGUGUAGCGGUGAAAUGCGUAGAGAUUGGGAGGAACACCAGUGGCGAAGGCGACUUACUGGGCCGUAACUGACGCUGAGGCGCGAAAGCGUGGGGAGCAAACAGGAUUAGAUACCCUGGUAGUCCACGCUGUAAACGAUGAGUGCUAGGUGUAGAGGGUAUCGACCCCUUCUGUGCCGCAGUAAACACAAUAAGCACUCCGCCUGGGGAGUACGGCCGCAAGGUUGAAACUCAAAAGAAUUGACGGA